This 82-nucleotide ribosomal RNA is filed under the name Priestia megaterium. Lineage: Bacteria; Bacillati; Bacillota; Bacilli; Caryophanales; Bacillaceae. The record is from RNAcentral.
UCUGGUGGCGAUAGCGAAGAGGUCACACCCGUUCCCAUACCGAACACGGAAGUUAAGCUCUUUAGCGCCAAUGGUAGUUGGG